UACGUAGGUUGCGAGCGUUGUCCGGAUUUACUGGGCGUAAAGCGCGCGCAGGCGGUCCUGAAAGUCGAAUGUGAAAGCUCCUGGCCCAACUGGGAGAGGCCGUUCGAAACUUCGGGACUUGAAGGCGGGAGAGGCAGAUGGAAUUUCCGGUGUAGCGGUAAAAUGCGUAGAUACCGGAAGGAACACCAGUGGCGAAAGCGAUCUGCUGGCCCGCCCUUGACGCUCAGGCGCGAAAGCUAGGGGAGCGACCGGG
RNAcentral lists this ribosomal RNA (253 nucleotides) under uncultured bacterium. RNAcentral's name for it is "partial 16S ribosomal RNA". It matches the Rfam family "Bacterial small subunit ribosomal RNA", at positions 524 to 776 of the family's 1533-position model. The record is from RNAcentral.